RNAcentral lists this long non-coding RNA (315 nucleotides) under Cicer arietinum (chickpea). Its description in RNAcentral is "long non-coding RNA (CARI_LNC002621)". Lineage: Eukaryota; Viridiplantae; Streptophyta; Magnoliopsida; Fabales; Fabaceae. The record is from RNAcentral.
GCACAUCAUCAUGUUACUUUGUCAUAAUACAAGUCACUAAGUUUGAAACUGGAAAUGAAAUUUUGCUUUCAUUUUCUCAUCUAUUAAUCCAAAAUCCCCCAAUAACGGUACCCUAAGAUAUUCCCCCAAUGAUUUGGGCUCUGUGAAUAGGAAAACAUUGGAGUUCCCUAAAAAGGACAUAGCAUUACAAGCUGGAAUAGCACUAGAAAUAUGUGAUAUUGGUAGCAAACAAUUGGCAAGAAGUGCAUCUCUUGAAGAAGUGAAGUAGUUACUUUCCCAAUAAGUAUUAUAAGGUUGUGAAAUGCAAUUCACUGC